RNAcentral lists this ribosomal RNA (253 nucleotides) under uncultured bacterium. RNAcentral describes it as "partial 16S ribosomal RNA". It matches the Rfam family "Bacterial small subunit ribosomal RNA", at positions 524 to 776 of the family's 1533-position model. The record is from RNAcentral.
UACGGAGGAUCCGAGCGUUAUCCGGAAUUAUUGGGUUUAAAGGGUGCGUAGGCGGCCAGAUAAGUCAGGGGUGAAAGUCGGCAGCUCAACUGUCGCAGUGCCUUUGAUACUGUUUGGCUUGAAUUCGGUUGAAGAUGGCGGAAUGAGACAAGUAGCGGUGAAAUGCAUAGAUAUGUCUCAGAACCCCGAUUGCGAAGGCAGUUAUCUAAGCCGUUAUUGACGCUGAUGCACGAAAGCGUGGGGAGCAAACAGG